This 563-nucleotide long non-coding RNA is filed under the name Callithrix jacchus (white-tufted-ear marmoset). Its description in RNAcentral is "lncRNA (ENSCJAG00000078213.1)". Lineage: Eukaryota; Metazoa; Chordata; Mammalia; Primates; Cebidae. The record is from RNAcentral.
AUACUCCGCGGAAAAAGACUGUGAAUGCUGUGGCAGAGAACACCAAUGGAGAGAACAUCAUGAAUGUCUGGAAAAAAAGUGAAGAUGCCGUCAUUGUUAUAGGAAAAGCCAUGAAAUCCACUGGGCUCUCGACUGUGUCUAGAUGUUGCACAUGACUUCACAAUUUAAGAAACUGCCCUUAUCAGUCCCUGGCCUUCUUCCAUCUUCAAAGCUAGUAAAACUUGAUCUUCUCACAGUACUUCACACUGACCGUGAGAGAUUUGCUUUCCUCCUCCAUAUUUAAAGACCUUGGGAUCUCACGUGGCUUAUUCCUGAUAAUCCAAGAUAACCUUCCAAUUUUAAGGGACACUGGGCAAUUCAUUGUCUUCAGAACACAUCUGGCCCUGUCAUGGCUAUGGGAGCAUCUUGGCAUUUGGAGGAAACAAAAGAUGACUGUGCUUGCUCUGGAAUGUGUGAGAGAAAAUGAUCCUACGUUCUGUUGGAGAGGAAGUAUUUUAGAAGUAAGGAGCAUUAUUUUACAGUUGUGGUGGCUCAUAUCAAGGUUCUUAAAGAAAGAAAAUUAG